CCCCUAGAUGUUCUGGGCCGCACGCGCGCUACACUGAACAGUUCAACAAGUCUUAACCUUGGCCGAUAGGUCUGGGUAAUCUUUGAACGCUGUUCGUGAUUGGGAUAGACCUUUGCAAUUAUGGGUCUUCAACGAGGAAUUCCUAGUAAACGCAAGUCAUCAGCUUGCAUUGAUUACGUCCCUGCCCUUUGUACACACCGCCCGUCGCUCCUACCGAUUGAGUGCUUCGGUGAAUAACUCGGACUGUAGCAGUUCGCAGUUCCUGCGUCUGCCGCGGAAAGUUUAGUGAACCUCAGCACUUAGAGGAAGGAGAAGUCGUAACA
This 323-nucleotide ribosomal RNA is filed under the name uncultured eukaryote. RNAcentral's name for it is "partial 18S ribosomal RNA". It matches the Rfam family "Eukaryotic small subunit ribosomal RNA", at positions 1470 to 1796 of the family's 1831-position model. The record is from RNAcentral.